Molecule: microRNA precursor, 86 nt
Filed under: Pelobates cultripes (western spadefoot toad)
Lineage: Eukaryota; Metazoa; Chordata; Amphibia; Anura; Pelobatidae
Source: RNAcentral
AGAUGCUCAAUCGAGCUUACAUUCUAUAGGAGGUGGGGUGUUUUACACCCCACCUCCUAUAGAUUGUAAGCUCGAUUGAGCAGGGU